This is an RNA transcript of Hyposmocoma kahamanoa, 2293 nucleotides long. RefSeq lists it as uncharacterized. The record is from RefSeq and is a predicted model, not a curated record. The transcript is spliced from 6 exons. NCBI's taxonomy places the organism in Eukaryota, Metazoa, Arthropoda, Insecta, Lepidoptera, Cosmopterigidae.
CUAUACAUUCACAGAGAACAGUCGCAUAUAACGUAUUUUUAACAUAGACGUGUUAUUAUUGUCGAAAUAUUACUUCGCAGCUCUUUUGCGAAGUGUUUUACGAAGUGAUUUUUGUUUCAAUUUAGUGUUGGUGACAUUUUAGGUGUCAAAAUGUGUUUCUCCAUAACAACCUGUUGUUGUUGUAUCAGUCUCGAGAUUGGCGCACAAAUAAUCAGCAUUAUAAGUUUAAUAGUUGCUCUAGCAGACACUGCGUACUGCGUAUGGUCGGCCAUCAUGUUGCCCCUGGUGCAGAUCAAAAUAAUCACCGCAUUUAUCAUCGUGGCCAUCAUGGCGCUGUUCGAGACGUUUUGCGCUUGCUUGCUUAUUUGCGGAGUUUUUAUGAAAAAGGCGAACUUCACAGUCCCCUGGCUUGUUCUAGCAUGGGUGAAAAGUAUCGCCUGUCUAGUCGUGGCGGCUUUCGGCAUCGCCGUCCUUGUGCUGAAGCCCGAUACUCUCCAUAAAUCCGAGGGUCCCGCUCCAACUCCUAGUAAUUCUACCGUUGAUUUACCGACAAAUGUGACAGAGUCAGUCGAUACUUCAGCACCGGACGUGCCAGCUAACACUAUCGACAAGACCACAAUUUUUAUUGUAAUUGUCGCUGCAUGCAUCUUGCAAGCUUUUCUACUGAUGUACUUCGCCUGCGUGGUGAACAGUCGUCGGAAGAAGAUCAGAGACGACGACUACUCACAGUACAUGCCCGUCCGUACAGAUUCCAUUAGAAACGUCUAUGUCCCCAUCACUCAACAGAUGCAGGCCCGACGCUAUGGUCACACUUCGUAAAUAUUAUUAAAAAUAAGUUAUAAGAAACCUCUAUAAAAACCUAUUAGAAGGAAUAAAAGAAAAGAAAAUCCAAGCAUAGUUUUUUCUACUACGUAAGUACUUUUGGAACAAAUCAAAGGAAAACUGAAUGCUUCGAAUAGGUAAAGAGGUUAAAGACUGAACUUCGUUCACUUCACACAUGAGCUCAUACAAACGAAGAAAUUAUUAUAUUUACCAUAAAAAUCAUGAUAUAGUUAUAGUACGAAAUAAUAUUUGCAUCGAUUCGUCUUAUCGCUUUAUCUUUCGCGUACAGUAGGACAAAAGGGUGAACCGUAACGGACGUGCCAUCUGUAUAGUGCAAACAAUGCUGAAUCAGUAAAAAAGCGUCGAUAGUCAAUAUUUUAAGAAGUACCUACGCACAGUUUACAAAAACGACCUAUGUGUAAAGAAAUAGUUCAAAGCUAGAAUUAACUAGAAAGAGUAUUAACUAUUUAACUAUUACCCUCGGACCAAGAUCAUUAAUUCCAUGUACGCUCAAAUCAAAAGAAGUGUGGUUUUGUUACCCUAUUGUAAUAUAAUACAAAUGAUAAACCGUUCAAAAUAUAACAUUCAUCGGUGCAAAUAAUAUUCUUCAACUAUAACAUCGAAAUUCAGCCAGAAGUUCAACAUGUAAAAAAAAGAAAAAUGUUUGACAUUUUUUGUACGAUCUCUCUCUCCUUCUCUAUUUUCAGUUAAUAUUCAUGUAAAAUUAGUCAAUUAUAAUUUAUGCUUUAUCUGUAUAAAAAAUGAACAAAUAAAUAAGUGCAAUGAUGUAAAAUUAGUGCAAUAUAAUAAAUACCAAAAUUAGUAAUAUAAGUACCUAUUGUAGUUUUAUGUUGACUGGUUUUUAAGUCCUUUCAAAGCCCUUUGUAAAGCGCAGGUCAUACAUAUCUCGACCGAAGCUAAAUUAAUCUAUUGCGUAUUUAUUUAAAUUUCUGUGUUAGCUCACGUAGCUGUAUGCAUAGCUAAGCUAAAAAAAAUACGGAGCCGUAGUCACAUGCUGCCACUCGACGCUAGUUUUUCGUUCAAAGCAGUAGCCGUACUGAUUCAUUUCCACAAAUGUAUAUUAUAAUCGUAUGGUUUACAAAUAGUAAAAUCGUCAAAUCAUUUCAGUAGCGCCAUUUCUUUCUCAGAGCCAUUGGUAUUGUGUACUUGCGUUCGCACGAUGCUACAGUGGUUGGGUAGUUAGCCCGCAUAGUUCAUUUAGCUGGUUGUGAAUAUAUUUAUGAAAAAUGCCGCGACUACGUAAGUUCAGCUAACUUAGCUGCUUAGCGCUUAAGGAGAAUAUUUUUUACUCAGUGAGUUGAAGAUUAAUUUUUAUAAUUCUGGAAUACGACCCUUAGAAGCGCAAGGGCGCGACCGUUUCAUGCCGUAAUAGUAAAAGCAUUGUCCUAAAAUACAAUUCCAUACGUUUUAUUUACCUCUUAAAUCGUAACGGCCAAGCGUAUCGUACUGU